RNAcentral lists this ribosomal RNA (390 nucleotides) under uncultured bacterium. RNAcentral describes it as "bacterial SSU rRNA". It matches the Rfam family "Bacterial small subunit ribosomal RNA", at positions 28 to 415 of the family's 1533-position model. The record is from RNAcentral.
GAUGAACGCUAGCGGCAGGCUUAAUACAUGCAAGUCGUGGGGCAGCAUGAGUAGCAAUACUUGAUGGCGACCGGCAAACGGGUGAGGAACACGUACACAACCUUCCUUCAAGCGGGGAAUAGCCCAGAGAAAUUUGGAUUAAUACCCCAUAAUAUAUUUGAUAAGGCAUCUUAUUAAUAUUAAAGCUUCGGCACUUGAUGAUGGGUGUGCGGCUGAUUAGAUAGUUGGCGGGGUAACGGCCCACCAAGUCUACGAUCAGUAGCUGAUGUGAGAGCAUGAUCAGCCACACGGGCACUGAGACACGGGCCCGACUCCUACGGGAGGCAGCAGUAAGGAAUAUGGACAAUGGACGAAAGUCUGAUCCAGCCAUGCCGCGUGAAGGAUUAAGGU